CGUCCUCUUGUGCCCAGCUGGGUCUAAAUUCACUCUUUUUUUUUUCCUUCAUGUGUAACUCCGGAGUGACUCAGCUGACUUCAACGAAUGCCCUGUGGAACUGUGCUAGCUGGAAACCAGCCUCACUCCUGCAAGGGAUGCAGCUACCUGUGCACGCUUCCGUGUACCAUAUCCGUACCACCGUGGAACUUUUUUUUGCUGUGACAUUGUAAUGGGAGGUGGAGACACCUCGAGGAGAAGGUCGAAACAGACAGCAGCAGUUGCAGGCAGUAAUGUCUGUCUAUGACUGGAGAAAAUCCAGCCCCAAUUACAGAAAUGUCAGGAAGACUCUCCAUGUUUCAGAUCUGUUUUGGUACAUUUUCACUUCAUGAUGCUGAGUACUGAUGCUCUCAGGAGGUUGCAGAAAAAGGACGUAAAACCAUAAUAAGUUUUCAGAGAGGAUAUCAGCAUACCAUCUGAAGGUUAUCCCACUGUGGUUCAUUCUGUUCAGGGUUUGAAGGACAAAAGGAUCACAUUGAUUUCCAUGAUGUUUAAGGCUAAACACGUGAAACCAUGUUCUCACCUGGACAUUAUUUCUCCCUGACUUUACGAAACGUGACAACUUGAAAAUGCUCCAUCUGAUCAAUUGUAAACAUUCAGAUCAAGUGAUUGGGCAGUAGCACUCAUUUGUGUUCCUGGCAUACCAAUACAUUUUUUCUCCUCUCUGAGAACUGGAGUUAUCACAUCACUGAAAGAUCUGUGGCUGGACAAAUAAUACAGAGCUUGUAUGCAAUCUGUGCAAAACUGAAGGAAAACAGAUCUGAAGUUCAGAAUGGAGGAAAGGAUGGUGGACAUGCAACAACAGCAGGAGUGAAGGUAUGCAUGGAAAUGCUGAUAGUGACCUUGAGAGGAGGUAGAUGGGGCACUGUGCUGCUGUUGUAGGAGGGAAUGAAGGAUUCUCAA
Molecule: long non-coding RNA, 942 nt
Organism: Centrocercus urophasianus (Greater sage-grouse)
Lineage: Eukaryota; Metazoa; Chordata; Aves; Galliformes; Phasianidae
Exons: 5
Source: RefSeq, a predicted model, not a curated record